ACUCCUACGGGAGGCAGCAGUGAGGAAUAUUCGGCAAUGGGCGCAAGCCUGACCGAGCCAUGCCGCGUGAGUGAAGAAGGCCUUAGGGUUGUAAAGCUCUUUCAACGGUGAAGAUAAUGACGGUAACCGUAGAAGAAGCCCCGGCUAACUUCGUGCCAGCAGCCGCGGUAAUACGAAGGGGGCUAGCGUUGUUCGGAAUUACUGGGCGUAAAGCGCGUGUAGGCGGAUUUUUAAGUCAGGGGUGAAAUCCCGGAGCUCAACUCCGGAACUGCCUUUGAUACUGGAAAUCUAGAGUUCGAAAGAGGUGUGUGGAACUCCUAGUGUAGAGGUGGAAUUCGUAGAUAUUAGGAAGAACACCAGAGGCGAAGGCGGCACACUGGUUCGAUACUGACGCUGAGACGCGAAAGCGUGGGAGCAAACAGGAUUAGAUACCCUGGUAGGUCAGUC
RNAcentral lists this ribosomal RNA (447 nucleotides) under uncultured bacterium. RNAcentral describes it as "bacterial SSU rRNA". It matches the Rfam family "Bacterial small subunit ribosomal RNA", at positions 335 to 800 of the family's 1533-position model. The record is from RNAcentral.